RNAcentral lists this ribosomal RNA (468 nucleotides) under uncultured Staphylococcus sp. Its description in RNAcentral is "bacterial SSU rRNA". It matches the Rfam family "Bacterial small subunit ribosomal RNA", at positions 23 to 473 of the family's 1533-position model. Lineage: Bacteria; Bacillati; Bacillota; Bacilli; Caryophanales; Staphylococcaceae. The record is from RNAcentral.
CUCAGGAUGAACGCUGGCGGCGUGCCUAAUACAUGCAAGUCGAGCGAACAGAUGAGAAGCUUGCUUCUCUGAUGUUAGCGGCGGACGGGUGAGUAACACGUGGGUAACCUACCUAUAAGACUGGGAUAACUCCGGGAAACCGGGGCUAAUACCGGAUAAUAUAUUGAACCGCAUGGUUCAAUGUUGAAAGACGGUUUCGGCUGUCACUUAUAGAUGGACCCGCGCCGUAUUAGCUAGUUGGUAAGGUAACGGCUUACCAAGGCAACGAUACGUAGCCGACCUGAGAGGGUGAUCGGCCACACUGGAACUGAGACACGGUCCAGACUCCUACGGGAGGCAGCAGUAGGGAAUCUUCCGCAAUGGGCGAAAGCCUGACGGAGCAACGCCGCGUGAGUGAUGAAGGUCUUAGGAUCGUAAAACUCUGUUGUUAGGGAAGAACAAAUUUGUUAGUAACUGAACAAGUCUGAC